UACCAUGCAAGUCGAACGAGAAAGCCCGCUUCGGUGGGUGAGUAAAGUGGCGCACGGGUGAGUAACACGUGGGUUACCUGCCCUCCAGCGGGGGAUAACACACCGAAAGGUGUGCUAAUACCGCAUAAUACUACAUUGUCUAUAAUGGUGUAGUCAAAGGUGGCUUCGGCUACCACUGGGGGAUGGGCCCGCGGACCAUUAGCUUGUUGGUAGGGUAAAGGCCUACCAAGGCUACGAUGGUUAGCUGGUCUGAGAGGACGAUCAGUCACACUGGAACUGGAACACGGUCCAGACUCCUACGGGAGGCAGCAGUGAGGAAUAUUGCGCAAUGGGGGGAACCCUGACGCAGCAACGCCGCGUGAGUGAAGAAGGCCUUCGGGUUGUAAAGCUCUGUCAGAGUCGAAGAAACAGUUAUGGACUAAUAAUCCAUAGCCCUGACGGUAGACCCAAAGGAAGCACCGGCUAACUCCGUGCCAGCAGCCGCGGUAAUACGGAGGGUGCGAGCGUUGUUCGGAAU
RNAcentral lists this ribosomal RNA (517 nucleotides) under uncultured bacterium. RNAcentral's name for it is "bacterial SSU rRNA". It matches the Rfam family "Bacterial small subunit ribosomal RNA", at positions 52 to 551 of the family's 1533-position model. The record is from RNAcentral.